Molecule: long non-coding RNA, 198 nt
Organism: Neopelma chrysocephalum (saffron-crested tyrant-manakin)
Lineage: Eukaryota; Metazoa; Chordata; Aves; Passeriformes; Pipridae
Exons: 2
Source: RefSeq, a predicted model, not a curated record
CAAAGGUCACACCCAGGAGCUGGGCAAGGACAAGUGGCUCUGCCCCCUCAGCGGGAAAAAAUUCAAGGGCCCCGAGUUCGUCCGGAAGCACAUCUUCAACAAGCACUCGGACAAGAUGGGGGCCGUCAGGAAGGAGGUUUUGUUCUUCAACAACUUCCUGAUGGACCCGAAGCGCCCGGCGCUGCCCGAGGGAAAAGG